Oncorhynchus keta (chum salmon) is the source of this 990-nucleotide long non-coding RNA. RefSeq lists it as uncharacterized. Lineage: Eukaryota; Metazoa; Chordata; Actinopteri; Salmoniformes; Salmonidae. The transcript is spliced from 4 exons. The record is from RefSeq and is a predicted model, not a curated record.
UGGUGGCUGUAGGUUCUACAGGCAGGACAGAGGGAGUUGCUGAGGCAUUGAGACGGUGAUGGUGGCUGUAGGUUCUACAGGCAGGACAGCGGGAGUUGCUGAGGCAUUGAGACGGUGAUGGUGGCUGUAGGUUCUACAGGCAGGACAGAGGGAGUUGCUGAGGCAUUGAGACGGUGAUGGUGGCUGUAGGUUCUACAGGCAGGACAGAGGGAGUUGCUGAGGCAUUGAGACGGUGAUGGUGGCUGUAGGUUCUACAGGCAGGACAGCGGGAGUUGCUGAGGCAUUGAGACGGUGAUGGUGGCUGUAGGUUCUACAGGCAGGACAGAGGGAGUUGCUGAGGCAUUGAGACGGUGAUGGUGGCUGUAGGUUCUACAGGCAGGACAGAGGGAGUUGCUGAGGCAUUGAGACGGUGAUGGUGGCUGUAGGUUCUACAGGCAGGACAGAGGGAGUUGCUGAGGCAUUGAGACGGUGAUGGUGGCUGUAGGUUCUACAGGCAGGACAGAGGGAGUUGCUGAGGCAUUGAGACGGUGAUGGUGGCUGUAGGUUCUACAGGCAGGACAGAGGGAGUUGCUGAGGCAUUGAGACGGUGAUGGUGGCUGUAGGUUCUACAGGCAGGACAGAGGGAGUUGCUGAGGCAUUGAGACGGUGAUGGUGGCUGUAGGUUCUACAGGCAGGACAGCGGGAGUUGCUGAGGCAUUGAGACGGUGAUGGUGGCUGUAGGUUCUACAGGCAGGACAGAGGGAGUUGCUGAGGCAUUGAGACGGUGAUGGUGGCUGUAGGUUCUACAGGCAGGACAGCGGGAGUUGCUGAGGCAUUGAGACGGUGAUGGUGGCUGUAGGUUCUACAGGCAGGACAGCGGGAGUUGCUGAGGCAUUGAGACGGUGAUGGUGGCUGUAGGUUCUACAGGCAGGACAGAGGGAGUUGCUGAGGCAUUGAGACGGUGAUGGUGGCUGUAGGUUCUACAGGCAGGACAGAGGGAGUUGCUGAGGC